RNA transcript from Peromyscus eremicus (cactus mouse), 3536 nucleotides. It is a transcript of the gene named 3-hydroxy-3-methylglutaryl-CoA reductase, with no coding region annotated. The record is from RefSeq and is a predicted model, not a curated record. The transcript has 21 exons. NCBI's taxonomy places the organism in Eukaryota, Metazoa, Chordata, Mammalia, Rodentia, Cricetidae.
GAACGGGCCGCGAGGAGACGUCCCGGAGGCCGGGCGGUGGCCUGGGCGACCCCGUGGGCCGGCGAGGCCCGAGGGCCGGUGCAGCAGCCCGGCGUCCGUGGGUCCAGUCCCGAGGGCGAUGUGCUGCUGACCGGGCGGUCACGGGCAUCCGGGUAGAACGAGUGUCAGGCAGGCUGGGGAGACAGCGGGAGCGGAUGUUCAUGGAGCCCUAGGAGACAAGUGUUCACGCCCGGGCGUUGCCUUGCGGCUGGACCUCUCUUUAAAGUGAUGGAGAAAGGCCCGAUGUAGGCUGCAGAUUGACCCAGAGCCGAGAUCCGCGUGGGCACGGCAGCUUAUGCCCCUCUUACUGGGCUGGGAGGAUGCGAGGAUCCAAGGACCGUGUAGCCACGAUGUUGUCAAGACUUUUCCGUAUGCAUGGCCUCUUCGUGGCCUCCCAUCCCUGGGAAGUUAUUGUGGGGACAGUGACACUCACCAUCUGUAUGAUGUCCAUGAACAUGUUUACUGGCAACAACAAGAUCUGUGGUUGGAAUUAUGAGUGCCCCAAAUUUGAAGAGGAUGUAUUGAGCAGUGACAUCAUCAUCCUCACCAUAACACGGUGCAUCGCCAUCCUGUACAUUUACUUUCAGUUCCAGAACUUACGUCAACUUGGGUCAAAAUAUAUUUUGGGUAUCGCUGGCCUGUUCACAAUCUUCUCCAGUUUUGUCUUUAGUACGGUUGUCAUUCACUUCCUAGACAAAGAGCUGACAGGCUUGAAUGAAGCUUUGCCCUUUUUCCUGCUUUUGAUUGACCUUUCUAGAGCGAGUGCACUAGCCAAGUUUGCCCUAAGUUCAAAUUCACAGGAUGAAGUAAGGGAAAAUAUAGCUCGUGGAAUGGCAGUUCUGGGUCCCACAUUCACCCUUGAUGCUCUUGUGGAAUGUCUUGUAAUUGGAGUUGGCACCAUGUCAGGGGUGCGGCAGCUGGAAAUCAUGUGCUGCUUUGGCUGCAUGUCUGUGCUUGCCAACUACUUCGUGUUCAUGACCUUUUUCCCAGCUUGUGUGUCCCUGGUCCUAGAGCUUUCUCGGGAGAGCCGAGAGGGUCGUCCAAUUUGGCAGCUCAGCCAUUUUGCCCGAGUUUUGGAAGAAGAAGAGAAUAAGCCAAACCCUGUAACCCAAAGGGUCAAGAUGAUUAUGUCUUUAGGCUUGGUUCUCGUUCACGCUCACAGUCGCUGGAUAGCUGAUCCCUCCCCUCAGAAUAGCACAACAGAACAUUCUAAGGUCUCUUUGGGACUGGAUGAAGAUGUGUCCAAGAGAAUUGAACCAAGUGUUUCUCUCUGGCAGUUUUAUCUCUCCAAGAUGAUCAGCAUGGACAUCGAACAAGUGAUUACCCUGAGUUUAGCUUUCCUGUUGGCUGUCAAGUACAUUUUCUUUGAACAAGCAGAGACAGAGUCAACACUCUCAUUAAAAAAUCCUAUUACAUCUCCUGUCGUGACCCCAAAGAAAGCCCAAGACAACUGUUGCAGACGUGAGCCUCUGCUUGUGAGAAGGAACCAGAAGCUUUCGUCAGUGGAGGAGGAGCUGGGAACAAACCAGGAUAGAAAAGUUGAGGUUAUAAAACCCCUAGUGGCGGAAGCUGAGACUGCAAGCAGAGCUACGUUUGUGCUUGGAGCCUCUGGAGCCAGCCCUCCGCUGGCCCUGGAGACACAGGAGCCUGAAAUUGAACUCCCCAGCAAGCCUCGGCCUAAUGAGGAGUGUCUGCAGAUCCUGGAGAGUGCCGAGAAAGGUGCAAAGUUCCUCAGUGAUGCAGAGAUCAUCCAGUUGGUCAAUGCCAAGCACAUCCCAGCCUACAAGUUGGAAACUCUAAUGGAGACUCAUGAACGGGGGGUAUCUAUUCGCCGGCAGCUCCUCUCCACAAAACUUCCGGAGCCUUCUUCUCUGCAGUACCUGCCUUACAGAGAUUAUAAUUACUCCCUGGUGAUGGGAGCUUGCUGUGAGAAUGUGAUCGGAUAUAUGCCCAUCCCUGUUGGAGUGGCAGGGCCCCUGUGCCUGGAUGGGAAAGAGUACCAGGUUCCAAUGGCAACAACGGAGGGCUGUCUUGUGGCCAGUACCAACAGAGGCUGCAGAGCAAUAGGUCUUGGUGGCGGUGCCAGCAGCCGGGUCCUUGCAGAUGGGAUGACCCGAGGCCCAGUGGUGCGACUUCCUCGUGCUUGUGACUCCGCAGAAGUGAAGGCCUGGCUUGAAACCCCAGAAGGCUUCGAAGUGAUAAAGGAGGCCUUCGAUAGCACCAGCAGAUUUGCACGUCUACAGAAACUUCAUGUGACUAUGGCAGGACGCAACCUAUACAUCCGUUUUCAGUCCAGGACGGGGGACGCCAUGGGGAUGAACAUGAUUUCCAAGGGCACAGAGAAGGCACUUCUGAAGCUUCAAGAGUUCUUCCCUGAAAUGCAGAUUCUGGCAGUCAGUGGUAACUACUGCACCGACAAGAAACCUGCCGCCAUAAACUGGAUCGAAGGGAGAGGGAAGACAGUCGUGUGUGAAGCUGUCAUUCCAGCCAAGGUGGUGAGGGAGGUAUUAAAGACGACUACGGAAGCGAUGAUUGACGUAAACAUUAACAAGAACCUGGUGGGUUCUGCCAUGGCCGGGAGCAUAGGAGGCUAUAACGCCCACGCAGCAAACAUCGUCACUGCUAUCUACAUUGCAUGUGGCCAGGAUGCAGCACAGAAUGUGGGUAGUUCAAACUGCAUUACUUUAAUGGAAGCAAGUGGUCCCACGAAUGAAGACUUGUAUAUCAGCUGCACCAUGCCAUCUAUAGAGAUCGGAACCGUGGGUGGUGGGACCAACCUCCUACCUCAGCAAGCUUGUCUGCAGAUGCUCGGUGUUCAAGGAGCGUGCAAAGACAAUCCUGGAGAACAUGCACGGCAGCUUGCCCGAAUUGUGUGUGGUACUGUGAUGGCUGGGGAGUUGUCCUUGAUGGCAGCAUUGGCAGCAGGACAUCUUGUCAGAAGUCACAUGGUUCACAACAGAUCGAAGAUAAAUUUACAAGAUCUGCAAGGAACGUGCACCAAGAAGGCAGCCUGAGCACCCUGACAGUACCGAACUAAACCCGGGCAUUGGGUUCUCAAGGACUAACAUGAAAUCUGUGAAUUAAAAAUCUCAAUGCAGUGUCUUGUGGAAGAUGAAUGGACGUGAUCAGUGAGUUCGGUCUUGGGAAGCUGACAUCUCGUGUAGAAGAUGGACUCUGAAACCAGACAUUCCAAGAGUACAGCGGCAUCAUGGGAGCCUCUUAGUGAUCAUGUGUCAGUAUUAUUGUGGAAGAUUAACUUUGCUGUUGUAUGUGAAGUUUCAAAUUGCUCCUCUUGUGACUUUUUAGCCAGUAACAUUUUAUUUACCUGAGCUUUUCAUGGAAGUGGCAGUGAAAAGCAUUGAGUGUUCAUGCUGGUGACUGUAACCAAUGUCAUCUUGCUAAAUUCCUGUUUUGUACAAUUACUAAAUUGUAUACAUUUUGUUAUAGAAUACUUUUUCCAAUUGAGUAAAUUAUGAAAGGAAGUUAACAUUGACAAA